AUGACUGCUGAACCCUCGCUCCCGUCAGGCUUCGGCACGAGGCCAUGGCUGGUCCAAGCAACGCCCGAGGAGCGGCAGACGUUAACGUUCGUCGACUCGGCGGACGGGAGCUCGCACAUGGUGAUCGCUCCCGAGAUGCAAGGCAAGACGUGCCUAGGCUGCGUCCACAACGGCGGCUGGCUGCUCAUGCUGGACGACUCCACCGCCGAAUGCUUCCUCCUCCGCCUCACCUCCGACGACUCAGACGACCCUGCAGCCAACAAGAUCCCGCUGCCGCCGCUGUACGAGCCGGUCGAAUCCAUAUUGAAGUGCGCGACUCUCGGGACAUCGCCCGCGCACCAGGACUGCGCCGUUGUGGUCGCCGUUGCACGCGAGAUGGAAGACCGCGUGGAGACGUUCCUGCUUCACUGCCGCCCCGGCGCCUCGCAAGUGGGGGCCUGGCUUGAUGCCCCGGGGCUCACUUUCCCAUGCCUUAUGAUCGGCCAUAGAGGGAAGAUCUACUUCUUAGAGUCCCCCGACACGCUCACCGUGAUAGGCCAAGACGGCGACGGCAUGGUCCAAGCGCAGCUGAUGGGCUCUCUCUGUGGCGGCAAAGAGGAACACGAUAGGACGGUCAUGUACAACAUCUUGGAGUCGUGUGGGGAUCUCUUCGAAGUUCCACACCAUUUUGGGGAUUUUAGCUACGAGGGCACACUCACCAGCAUCACAGUGUCCCGCCUGGAUCUCGAGUCCAUGACGUGGAGCAUGGUGGAUAGCAUCGGUGGCGACCGUGCCUUCCUCGUCUCCGAGCGUUACGGCUUCUCCGUGCCCGUGUGUCCAGGGGAAGGGGGUUUGGUGCAGCAGGGUAACUGUAUGUACAUUGUCUGGUCGAGCUGCGACUGCGAAAGGCUAUACAAGUUCUGCUUGGACGACAACACCAUUAGCUUUCGACAGAUCCUUCCGCAACCUACCAAGCCUUGGUGCAGAGCAUUCUGGGCAGUUCCGCCAUUGCCCAUGUCCAUGGUAGUCAAAGAAAUUGGAUUGUUGGAGGAGGAGGAGGAGCAGGCCACCUAUUGUAAUACACGGCCAUGGCAUGAUCUGCCACUAAAAUUGCUACAACAGGUUGUCUCGAGACUUUCUUUGGUGGAUCGUAUCCGAUUCCAUGCGGUAUGCAAGUCAUGGAGAAUGGUGUCCAACCCAGUUGAGCAAGUCAAUGUGUGGCCUUGGCUCCUGCACUGCUCCGGCCGAACAUAUUUUCCGAUUCUCCAAAGACGGUUGGGUGGCCAUGUCGACCAGUGCAGAUAUCGAGACAUGUACAUCAUAAACCCCUUCAACGAGGACAUUGUGGAGAUGCCCAUUCUCGUGAGGAAAUACUACUUCAUGGGCCUGUCAUGGUCCUCGGCGGACCCGACGUCACCGGAGUGCGUCUUCUUCGGCAUCGUCAGCCGGCACGACGGCAAAAAAAUCAAUAUCCUUAUGUGGCGGCAUGGCGAGGCUGACUGGUUCGAAAGACAUUUUGAGUACUAUGAAGGGGAUCCAUUCCCGGUGGCAUACAACAACCCUGUCUUGUUCUACGACAAAUUUUAUUGCCUCGGGAGGCCAACCUUGGCACGUUUGACCUGGCAAGCGACACAUGGACGAUCUUGGAGAAGUGACCACCACGAGGGGAGAGAGUUUUGCUACCUGAUUGAGCUGCGAGGGGAGCUGGUCUCCGUGUUCAUGCGUAACGCCGACCAGCCACCGCGGGUGUUCAAGCUCAACGAGGAGGAGAUGGCCUGGAUGGAGGUGCAAGAGAUUGGCGGCGCGGCUUUGUUUCUUGAUUUCAGGGUGUCAUACUCCGUGGCAUCACCGGAAGCUGGGCAUGGCAAUAGGAUCUACUUCCCUAGUUAUUCGGAGGAUGGCAAACAAGCGGCGUUCUAUGAUAUUGAGACCAAGGCAUACCACCCAUCCUUGUAUGGUUUGAAGUCACCGUUGCAAUGUGUGUGGGUUGUGCCUAAUCUACGGCCACACAUCGUAUCAAAAUAA
This 2004-nucleotide ribosomal RNA is filed under the name Triticum aestivum (bread wheat). RNAcentral describes it as "partial small subunit ribosomal RNA". Lineage: Eukaryota; Viridiplantae; Streptophyta; Magnoliopsida; Poales; Poaceae. The record is from RNAcentral.